CCUACGGGAGGCAGCAGUCGCGAAUUUUCACAAUGGACGCAAGUCUGAUGAAGCCACGCCGUGUGCGGGAUGAAGGCUCUUUGAGUUGUAAACCGCUGUCAAGUGGAGGGAAACGUACGGUGUUAACAGCGCCGUGCCUGACUGUCCGCUAAAGGAAGCCCCGGCAAAACAUGUGCCAGCAGCCGCGGUAAUACAUGUGGGGCAAGCGUUGUUCGGAAUUACUGGGCAUAAAGGGUGCGUAGGCGGCAUGUUAAGUCAGGGGUGAAAUCCCACGGCCCAACCGUGGAACUGCCUUUGAUACUGGCGUGCUUGAGUGCGUGAGGGGUAACCGGAACGAGUAGUGUAGCGGUGAAAUGCGUAGAUAUUACUCGGAAGGCCAAAGGCGAAGGCAGGUUACUGGUACGCAACUGACGCUGAGGCACGAAAGCGUGGGGAGCAAACGGGAUUAGAUACCCUGGUAGUCCACGCCGUAAACGAUGAGCACUAGGUUGAUGGCACGCUACGUGUUGUCNGCGCAGAAAGUUAAAUAAGUAGCGUCCGCCGUGGGAGGUAGUGGUCGUCGAGGACGUGAACGUUACGAAAGGAAGUUAGACGGCGNGAGACGGACCGACGGACGACGACGAGGGAGGAGG
RNAcentral lists this ribosomal RNA (632 nucleotides) under uncultured bacterium. RNAcentral's name for it is "bacterial SSU rRNA". The stretch from base 1 to 542 matches the Rfam family "Bacterial small subunit ribosomal RNA", at positions 338 to 873 of the family's 1533-position model. The record is from RNAcentral.